Molecule: ribosomal RNA, 292 nt
Filed under: uncultured bacterium
Lineage: Bacteria
Description: partial 16S ribosomal RNA
Rfam family: Bacterial small subunit ribosomal RNA
Source: RNAcentral
GUGUCAGCAGCCGCGGUAAUACGUAGGGGGCAAGCGUUGUCCGGAUUUAUUGGGCGUAAAGCGCUCGCAGGUGGUUCGUUGCGUCGUGCGUGAAAGACCCCGGCUCAACUGGGGAGGGUCGUGCGAUACGGGCGAACUGGAGGCCAGUAGGGGGAUGCGGAAUUCCGGGUGUAGUGGUGGAAUGCGUAGAGAUCCGGAGGAACACCAGCGGCGAAGGCGGCAUCCUGGACUGGUCCUGACACUCAGGAGCGAAAGCGUGGGGAGCGAUCCGGAUUAGAUACCCCCGUAGUCC